AACGAACGCUGGCGGCAGGCCUCAAACAUGCAAGUCUAGGGGGUGUAGCAAUACAUCACCGGCGGACGGGUGCGUAACGCGUGGGAAUAUACCUAUCGAUUCGGAACAACUGAGGGAAACUUCAGCUAAUACCGAAUACGUCCUAACGGAGAAAGAUUUAUCGUCGAUAGAUUAGCCCGCGUUCGAUUAGCUAGUUGGUGGGGUAACGGCCCACCAAGGCGACGAUCGAUAGCUGUUCUGAGAGGAAGAUCAGCCACACUGGGACUGAGACACGGCCCAGACUCCUACGGGAGGCAGCAGUUGGGAAUCUUGGACAAUGGGGGAAACCCUGAUCCAGCCAUGCCGCGUGAGUGAUGAAGGCCUUCGGGUUGUAAAACUCUUUCGCGCACGACGAUAAUGACGGUAGUGCGAGAAGAAGACUCCGGGCCUAACUUCGUGCCAGCAGCCGCGGUAAU
Molecule: ribosomal RNA, 455 nt
Filed under: uncultured bacterium
Lineage: Bacteria
Description: bacterial SSU rRNA
Rfam family: Bacterial small subunit ribosomal RNA
Source: RNAcentral